AGGACGAACGCUGGCGGCGUGCUUAACACAUGCAAGUCGAGCGGAAAGGCCCUUCGGGGUACUCGAGCGGCGAACGGGUGAGUAACACGUGAGUAAUCUGCCCCUAGCUCUGGGAUAGCUCCGGGAAACCGGGAUUAAUACCGGAUACGACCACCUUAGACAUCUUUUGUGGUGGAAAGAAUUUCGGCUAGGGAUGAGCUCGCGGCCUAUCAGCUUGUUGGUGGGGUAACGGCCCACCAAGGCUUUGACGGGUAGCUGGUCUGAGAGGACGACCAGCCACACUGGGACUGAGACACGGCCCAGACACCUACGGGUGGCAGCAGUCGAGAAUUUUUCUCAAUGGGGGAAACCCUGAAGGAGCGACGCCGCGUGGAGGAUGAAGGUCUUCGGAUUGUAAACUCCUGUCAUUGGGGAACAAGUCGCUUACGUUAACUGCGUGAGCGUUGAUAGUACCCGAAGAGGAAGAGACGGCUAACUCUGUGCCAGCAGCCGCGGUAA
RNAcentral lists this ribosomal RNA (498 nucleotides) under uncultured bacterium. RNAcentral describes it as "SSU rRNA". It matches the Rfam family "Bacterial small subunit ribosomal RNA", at positions 26 to 523 of the family's 1533-position model. The record is from RNAcentral.